RNAcentral lists this non-coding RNA (78 nucleotides) under Pseudooceanicola marinus. The record is from RNAcentral. Lineage: Bacteria; Pseudomonadati; Pseudomonadota; Alphaproteobacteria; Rhodobacterales; Paracoccaceae.
UGCGGGCGACGUGGCGCUUUGUUACCGGAUUGCGGGCCACGUUAAACAUUCCGCUAAAGAGGUCGAGGAUAGGAGACC